GUUGGGCAUGGUGGCGCAUGCCUUUAAUCCCAGCUACUUGGGAGGCUGAGGUAGGAGAACUGCUUGAACCAGGGAGUUGGAGGUUGCAGUGAGCCAAUAUCGUGCCACUGCACUCCAGCCUGGCAACAGAGUGAGACUCCGUCUCAAAAAAAAAAAAAAAAAAUACAGACAGCAUCUUACUCUGUUGCCCAGGCUGGAGUGCAGUGGCACGAUCAUAGCUCACUGAAACCUUCACUUCCUGGGCUUAAGCGAUCCUCCCGCCU
RNAcentral lists this small RNA (263 nucleotides) under Gorilla gorilla gorilla (western lowland gorilla). RNAcentral describes it as "Metazoan signal recognition particle RNA (ENSGGOG00000041334.1)". The record is from RNAcentral. Lineage: Eukaryota; Metazoa; Chordata; Mammalia; Primates; Hominidae.